CAACCACGUGGGGGAGGGGCGGAGGGCUCUUUCUCUUGGCUUGCUGUCAUUUUUCACUAGCAACUUGUUGUAAUGAGACAGCAUUACUUCACUUCUGAAAUGAGAUGAUGGCUGUGAUCGAGAACUCAACCAGCGCUGUUCCCAUUAAAUGGGAAUACUAUUAUGAUUAUCUUGACCCUGUAAUUGUGAAUGAGAGCAAGCUGAAAUACAAUAAAUACUCAAUUGUUAUAAUACUUUGGAUCUUUAUGGCUGCCUUUAUGGGAUUGCUCUUUCUCAUUUUGACUCUAAUAUCUCGCAGAGGAAACUUGCCAAGGCCUCACAGAUCCAAACGAGAGGUCACGACAUUGACUGAAGCUGAAUGAGAUGUGAAGAAAAAGGUUAAAAAUGAAGGCGAUGGACACAAUUCAAAAUCCAAAUGAUACAAAUGCAAUGAAUGAAAGUUUGGAUAAAAGGUUUUGAGACCAUGUGUAAAAAGGCAAAGAUUCGGUUUUCUUAGCAAUUCAUUCAAUACCUACAAAGUGCAACGCUACCAUUAUUCACAAUGGUGAAGUGACUUUUCUCCUGUCCUUUACCCUGCACUGUGUCCACGUGCCCCUGCCCUACAUGUUAAGUACAAGGAGAGCACUGCAUUGAAUCCAAUUGAUUAAAUGAAGGCCCUGUUUACACAAAUAUGCUCGUGGGUGAAAAUAAUAUUCUGAUAAAAAUGUGCCUUUCGUUUACACGCACCAGCAGUUUUAGGGGUUAAAAACGUAAAAAAGUGAAACCAAAUCUAAAAACACGCUUCACUGUUGCGUUCCCAUCUAAUGGCUAAAAUCACACUGUGCGUGUGUGUGUCAUGUGUCUGUGCCGUGCGUGUGUGUGUCGUGUGUAUGUGGCGUGGGUGUGUGCAUUGUUUGAAGCAAUAACUCCACCUCCUCGUCUGGCCAAACAAAAUUGUCAGCUUUUGUUGUUUGCGUCACGCUACGAGGGAGAGAAGAAGGAAGGUUGUACGCAGGCGUUCGGACUUGGUGCUUCACACUGCCACCUAGCCCCCUGGCAUGCAUACUACAUCAAAUUUCACACACUUUUGCGUCACCAUGUGCACGCAGAAUCGCAAAAUAAAAAGUGAGAACCCAACGCCACUUUUGCGUUUUCUCUUCAGAUCGUUUCCGUCUCAACAUAGCC
Molecule: long non-coding RNA, 1164 nt
Organism: Etheostoma spectabile (orangethroat darter)
Lineage: Eukaryota; Metazoa; Chordata; Actinopteri; Perciformes; Percidae
Exons: 3
Source: RefSeq, a predicted model, not a curated record